AUUUGGGCGGGAGUGUCUUGUUUUUCCAGGUACCGUCUGUCACGGCUUUCCUUGGCUAGGGAAGGGAAAUCCCCUGGCCUCUUGCGCUUCCUGGGUGAGGUGAUGCCCUGCCCUGCUUCAGCUCACCCUUCAUGGGCUGCACCUACUGUCCAACCAGUCCCAGUGAGAUGAACCAGGUUCCUCAGUUGGAAAUGCAGAAAUCACCCAUCUUCUGCGCCGAUCACACUGGGAGCUGCAGACUGGAGAUGUUCCUAUUUGGCCAUCUUGGAAUGGAAUCUCAGCUUCAUGUCUUUUUAAGGUGGAAGGGAACUGGACAGUGACAUAAGUGUGAAAUGUCUUACAGAAGAGUAUGGAGUGGAAAUGACCACCAUAUGUGACCUGAAGAAACAGAAGGAGAAACUGUUGAAGUUCUACGGUGAAAGUGAUGAACAGAAGUUAAUGAAAAAGUAGAAAAACACUGCAUAAAGCUGAAAUGAUGAUCUCAAUUGUGGAUUGAAAGUAUGCAUACAUCAGCAUUGCAAUGAACACAUGCCACUUAGUGGUAUACAGAUCAUGAAACAAGCAAAGAUUUAUUGUGACGAACUGAAAAUUAAAGGGAACUAGAAAUAUUCAACAGGCUGGUUGCAGAAAUUUAAUAAAAGACAUGACAUUGAAUUUUUAAAGAUUUGUGGUGAUAAAGCAUCUAUUGAUCAUGAAGCAGUGGAUAAAUUCAAUGACAAAUUUGCCAACGUCAUCACUGGUGAAAAUCUGAUGCCAGGCUCAUGGAUACUCUUCAUGAUCUGAAGGAACUAUUGAACCUCUUCCCAGAGAAAGGCACUCACAGGUAAAACUCUGCCUCUAAUCUCUGUAUUUAUGGACCCCUGGAAGCUUAUCUUCUCAUAUCUAAGGACCCAGAUGAAGAAUACUUGCUGUGUAGUUCCAGUUGCCAUGUGGUUCCAGAAGUCUUAGAAAUCGUGAUUAAAAUAAUACUAGAUCAAGGUUGUGUAAGAUAAUGCUCAAUACAUGUUAGAUGACAAUAGCAAAAUAAGUGUUAAGUAUUUCAAUUUUCCAAAAAUGAACCUAAACCUUCUCAUUUCCCUCUUUCUUUAAUCUCUCCACACUACAUGCCGUAUUCCAGCUAGGAAAAACAAAAAACAAACAAAUAAGAAACAAAAUAAAGCAAAACAUAUUCAUAAUCCCUCUGUCCAUAAAAUCCAAAUCUCUUUACUCUACAUCCUUAAGCUGGCUUUGUUUCUUACAUAUGAGACUUGGGGAUAGUAUUGUCUAGUAUAGUUUUUCCUGCAGUAUAUAGGGGAAAGGUCAUGGGCAAAUCAUGCUAUUUGAAACCAUGAUUUUGAAUCUAGGCUGUGUAAUUUGUGAAUUAUAUUACCUAAACUUUAGUAUCUUGAUUUCUGAAACUCAUUUUUUCAUCUAUAAAAAGGGUUAAUGACUCCUAUUUUGGAGACUAGCAAAUUGAGAUUAAUAAAUUUAGAUAUUGCAGGAAGAUUAAGUAGAGUGCACUGCAGACAGCAUGUCUUCCCCUAAAUCUUAAUCAAGGCCAGUGUCAGGCCUCUGAGCCCAAGCCAAGCCAUCACAUCCCCUGUGACUUGCACGUAUACGCCCAGAUGGCCUGAAGAAACUGAAGAAUCACAAAAGAAGUGAGUAUGCCCUGGCCCACCUUAAUUGAUGACAUUCCACCACAAAAGAAGUGUAAAUGGCCAGUCCUUGCCUUAAGUGAUGACAUUACCUUGUGAAAGUCCUUUUCCUGGCUCAUCCUGGCUCAAAAAGCACCCCCACUGAGCACCUUGCGACCCCUACUCCUGCCCGCGAGAGAACAAACCCCCUUUGACUGUAAUUUUCCUUUACCCACCCAAAUCCUAUAAAACAGCCCCACCCUUAUCUCCCUUUCGCUGACUCUCUUAUUUUCACCUGCCUGCACCCAGGUGAAAUAAAUAGCCAUGUUGCUCACACAAAGCCUGUUUGGUGGUCUCUUCACACAGACGUGCAUGAAAUUUGGCGCCGUGACUCGGAUUGGGGGAACUCCCCUGGGAGAUCAAUCCCCUGUCCUCUUGUUCUUUGCUCCAUGAGAAAGAUCCACCUACGACCUCAGGUCCUCAGACUGACCAGCCCAAGGAACAUCUCACCAAUUUUAAAUCAGGUAGGUGGCCUCUUCUUACUCUCUUCUCCAACCUCUCUCACUGUCCCUCAACCACUUUCUUCUUUCCACUCUUCAAUCUCUCCCUUCUCUUAAUUUCAAUUCCUUUCAUUUUCUGGGAGAGACAAAGGAGACACGUUUUAUCUGUGGACCCAAAACUCCGGCGCCAGUCACAGACUGGGAAGGCAGGCUUCCCUUGGUGUUUAAUCAUUGCAGGGAUGCCUCUCUGAUUAUUCACCCACGUUUCAAAGGUGUCAGACCACGCAGGGACGCCUGCCUUGGUCCUUCACGCUUAGCAGCAAGUCCCGCUUUUCUGGGGAAGAGGCAAGUACCCCAACCCCUUCUCUCCUUGUCUCUACCCCUUCUCUCCUUUCCUGGGGCAGGGGCAAGUACCCCUCAACCCCUUCUCCUUCACCCUUAGUGGCAAGUCCUGCUUUUCUGGGUGAGGGGCAAGUACCCCUCAACCCCUUCUCCUUCACCCUUAGUGGCAAGUCCCGCUUUUCUGGGGGAGGGGCAAGUACCCCUCAACCCCUUCUCUUUCACCCUUAGCGGCAAGUCCCGCUUUUCUAGGGGGCAAGAACCCCCAAUCCCUUAUUUCCGCACCCCAACCUCGUAUCUCUGUGCCCCAAUCCCUUAUUUCCAUGCCCUGACCCCUUAUUUCCAUGCCCCAACCCCUUAUUUCCAUGCCCUGACCUCUUAUCUCUGUGCCCUAACCCCUUUUCCCACUUUUCUGGAAGGGAAGAACCCCCAAACCCCUUCCCUCCAUUUCUCUACUCUCUUCUCUAGGCUUGCUUCCUUCACUAUAGGCAACCUUCCACCCUCCAUUCCUCCUUCUACUCCCUUGGCCUGUGUUCUCAAAAACUUAAAAUCUCUUCAACUCACAACUGACCUAAAACCUAAAUGCCUUAUUUUCUUCUGCAAUGCCACUUGACCCCAAUACAAACUCGACUGUAGUUCCAAAUAGCCAGAAAAUGGCACUUUGAAUUUUUCCAUCCUGCAAGAUCUAAAUAAUUCUUGUCCUAAAAUAGGCAAACAGUCUGAGGUGCCUGACGUCCAGGCAUUCUUUUACACAUCAGUCCCUUCCUUGUCUCUGUGCCCAGUGCAAAUCAUCCCAAAUCUUCCUUCUUUCCCUCCCGCCUGUCCCCUAAGUCCCAAACCCAAGCAUCGAUGAGUCUUUCUAAUCUUCCUUUUCUACAGACCCAUCUGACCUCUCCCCUCCUUGCCAGGCCUAGCUAGGUCCCAAUGCUUCCUCAGCCUCCGCUCCUCCACCCUAUAAUCUUUUUAUCGCCUCCCCUCCUCACACCUGGUCUGGCUUACAGUUUCGUUCUUGACUAGCCCUCCCCCACCUGCCCAGCAAUUUACUCUUAAAAAGGUGGCUGGAGCCAAAGGCAUAGUCAAGGUUAAUGCUCCUUUUUCUUUAUCCCAAAUCGGAUAGCGUUUAGGCUCUUUUUCAUCAAAUAUAAAAAUCCAGCCCAGUUCAUGACUUGUUUGGCAGCAACCCUGAGA
RNAcentral lists this long non-coding RNA (3640 nucleotides) under Homo sapiens (human). RNAcentral describes it as "HSALNT0112500". The record is from RNAcentral. Lineage: Eukaryota; Metazoa; Chordata; Mammalia; Primates; Hominidae.